This is a long non-coding RNA of Hyla sarda, 1994 nucleotides long. RefSeq lists it as uncharacterized. The transcript is spliced from 3 exons. Lineage: Eukaryota; Metazoa; Chordata; Amphibia; Anura; Hylidae. The record is from RefSeq and is a predicted model, not a curated record.
CCAUUGUGCCAUUCAGUAUUAAGACUACUGUCCGUUACUCAAUGUUGUGCCACUUUUUUGAAUAUUUUAAAAGUAGGUAUUGCCUUAUAUCACCAAGUCUGUCACACUGUGGUUCUCACAAUUGCUCUACUAGCAAAAGUUACAAUAAAAAGCUAAAUAAAACCAGAGCAAGAUGUUGCAGAAGACUGCAAGUGGCUCAGGACCAGACUUUCAGAACAGGCAAUGGUUCAGAUCUACAACUGCAAAUGCAAUGAAAAACUGUCUUAGGCUGGGUUUCCACUUGGCAGUUUUUGGAAAAGCACUGCCAGAGCCCUACAAAAUGACCUCCAGUAGGCCACAAAUGUGCAUGUGUCCAUUCAAACGGUCAGAAACAGACUCCAUGAGGGUGGUAUGAGGGCCCAAUGUCCACAGGUGGGGGUUGUACUUACAGCCCAACAUCGUGCAGGACGUUUGGCAUUUGCCAGAGAACAACAAGAUUGCCAAAUUUGCCACUGGCGCCCUGUGCUCUUCACAGAUGAAAGCAGGUUCACAUUGAGCACAUGUGACAGACGUGACAGAGUCUGGAGAUGCCAUGGAGAAUGUUCUGCUGCCUGCAACAUCCUACAGCAUGACCAGUUUUUAGCGGAGGGUCAGUAAUGGUGUGGGGUGGCAUUUCUUUGGGGGGCCGCAGAGCCCUCCAUGUGCUUGCCAGAGGUAGCCUGACUGCCAUUAGGUACCGAGAUCCUCAGACCUUGUGUGACUUUAUGCUGGUGCGGUUGGCCCUGGGUUCCUCCUAAUGCAAGACCUCAUGUGGCUGGAGUGUGUCAGCAGUUCCUGCAAGAGGAAGGCAUUGAUGCUAUGGACUGGCUCGCCCUUUCCCCAGACCUGAAUCCGAUUGAGCAAAUCUGGGACAUCAUGUCUCGCUCCAUACACCAACCACAGACUGUCCAGGAGUUGGUGGAUGCUUUAGUCCAGGUCUGGGAGGACAUCCCUCAGGAGACCAUCCGCCACCCCAUCAGGAGCAUGCCCAGGCGUUGUAGGGAUGUCAUACAGGCACAUGGAGGCCACACACACUACUGAGCCUCAUUUUGACUUGUUUUAAGGACAUUACAUCAAAGUUGGAUCAGCCUGUAGUGUGGAUUUCCACUUUGAUUUUGAGUGUGACUCCAUAUCCAGACCUCCAUGGGUUGAUACAUUUUAUUUCCAUUGAUAAUUUUUGUGUGAUUUUGUUGACAGCACAUUCAACUAUGUAAAGACGAAAGUAUUUCAUACGAUUAGUUCAUUCAGAUCUAUAAUGUGUUAUUUUAGUGUUUCCUUUAUUUUUUUGAGCAGUGUAUAAACGAAAGACUUGUACUUCUCCUUUCUGCUGGAUCCGUUUCUUGCUUUGGCUCAAAAACUGCAGUGUCAGUUUUCUAAAAAUUUGUUAAGUGGAAAUUUAGCCUUAUAAUGACUUGUGUCAUAUUUUAUAUGAGUUUUAGACCCUAUGAGGGAGAUUUAUCAAAACUAGUGCAGAGGAAAAGCUGCCCAGUUACCCAUAGCAACCAAUCAGAUCGCUUCUUUCAUUUUUCACAGGCCUUGUUAAGAAUGAAAGAAGAGAUCUGAUUGGUUGCUAUAGGCAACUGGGCAACUUUGCCUGUCCACAGGUUUUGAUAAAUCUCUCCCUUUGUGGCCUUUUUUGACCAGUUUGACUAAAGGUGCUUGGCUUAAAAUGGGGAUUGACUCCAGUUAAUUGGGAUGUAGACUUAAUGUGCCAAAAAUGCAUCAAAAUGUUGUCAUGGAUUCUGGUUUAAAAUGUUACUUUGAGUUCAUCGGUCCGGAGAUUCCGCAGCACUGAUAUCCGGGAGGCAGCACCACCACACGGAUCUUCCGUCAUGCUUUUAUAAGUUGUUGUGUCUUUGGAAACACAACAACUGAAGAAAUGAAAGACAGCAAUGUCAACAAUACCUUGCUUUUCAUUGUUAUUUUUACUUCCCCUGACUCAACAAUAAAAAAACUGUCUGCUCCAUCACCCUGGG